AGCGAACGCUGGCGGCAGGCCUAACACAUGCAAGUCGAGCGCCCAGCAAUGGGAGCGGCAGACGGGAUAGUAACACGUGGGAACGUACCUUUCAGUUCGGAACAACCAAGGGAAACUUUGGCUAAUACCGAAUACGCCCGUAAGGGGAAAGAUUUAUCGCUGAAAGAUCGGCCCGCGUCUGAUUAGCUAGUUGGUGAGGUAAUGGCUCACCAAGGCGACGAUCAGUAGCUGGUCUGAGAGGAUGAUCAGCAUCACUGGGACUGAGACACGGCCCAGACUCCUACGGGAGGCAGCAGUGGGGAAUAUUGGACAAUGGGCGCAAGCCUGAUCCAGCCAUGCCGCGUGAGUGAUGAAGGCCUUAGGGUUGUAAAGCUCUUUCGUCAGGGAAGAUAAUGACGGUACCUGAAGAAGAAGCCCCGGCUAACUUCGUGCCAGCCGCCGCCGUAAUAC
RNAcentral lists this ribosomal RNA (450 nucleotides) under uncultured bacterium. RNAcentral describes it as "bacterial SSU rRNA". It matches the Rfam family "Bacterial small subunit ribosomal RNA", at positions 29 to 526 of the family's 1533-position model. The record is from RNAcentral.